UAGUAACGAUGAUAUUCCUCCAUUGCCU
This 28-nucleotide non-coding RNA is filed under the name Mus musculus (house mouse). The record is from RNAcentral. Lineage: Eukaryota; Metazoa; Chordata; Mammalia; Rodentia; Muridae.